GUAUAGGAAUGAGGGGCCAUCUGGGUCCACCUCCCACCCGUGUUUAUUUUACCUUGUUGCUUCGGCGGGCCCGCCUUAACUGGCCGCCGGGGGGCUUACGCCCCCGGGCCCGCGCCCGCCGAAGACACCCUCGAACUCUGUCUGAAGAUUGAAGUCUGAGUGAAAAUAUAAAUUAUUUAAAACUUUCAACAACGGAUCUCUUGGUUCCGGCAUCGAUGAAGAACGCAGCGAAAUGCGAUACGUAAUGUGAAUUGCAAAUUCAGUGAAUCAUCGAGUCUUUGAACGCACAUUGCGCCCCCUGGUAUUCCGGGGGGCAUGCCUGUCCGAGCGUCAUUGCUGCCCUCAAGCCCGGCUUGUGUGUUGGGCCCCGUCCCCCGAUCUCCGGGGGACGGGCCCGAAAGGCAGCGGCGGCACCGCGUCCGGUCCUCGAGCGUAUGGGGCUUUGUCACCCGCUCUGUAGGCCCGGCCGGCGCUUGCCGAUCAACCCAAAUUUUUAUCCAGGUUGACCUCGGAUCAGGUAGGGAUACCCGCUGAACUUAAGCAUAUCAAUAAGCGGAGGAAUAUGCCGGAUUUAUUAUUUUUUUUUAAAUUUUAUAAUUUGUUUUAAUAAAUCAUUAUUAAAUUUUU
Molecule: unclassified non-coding RNA, 627 nt
Filed under: Penicillium crustosum
Lineage: Eukaryota; Fungi; Ascomycota; Eurotiomycetes; Eurotiales; Aspergillaceae
Description: sequence contains ITS1, 5.8S rRNA gene and ITS2
Rfam family: 5.8S ribosomal RNA (bases 181-333)
Source: RNAcentral